CACACCGCCCGUCGCUCCUACCGAAGGACCGGUCCGGGUGUGUUGGGUUCGCGGCGACCUGGGCGGUUCGCCGCCGGCGACGUCGCGAGAAGUCCACUGAACCUUAUCAUUUAGAGGAAGGAGAAGUCGUAACAAGGUUUCCGUAGUGAACCUGCGGAAGGAUCAUUGU
This 169-nucleotide ribosomal RNA is filed under the name Codonopsis pilosula. RNAcentral's name for it is "partial 18S ribosomal RNA". It matches the Rfam family "Eukaryotic small subunit ribosomal RNA", at positions 1665 to 1831 of the family's 1831-position model. The record is from RNAcentral. Lineage: Eukaryota; Viridiplantae; Streptophyta; Magnoliopsida; Asterales; Campanulaceae. RNAcentral also lists the same sequence under 2 other names.